Molecule: transfer RNA, 72 nt
Filed under: Candidatus Woesebacteria bacterium
Lineage: Bacteria; Candidatus Woeseibacteriota
Description: tRNA-Ala
Rfam family: tRNA
About the family: Transfer RNA (tRNA) molecules are approximately 80 nucleotides in length. Their secondary structure includes four short double-helical elements and three loops (D, anti-codon, and T loops). Further hydrogen bonds mediate the characteristic L-shaped molecular structure. tRNAs have two regions of fundamental functional importance: the anti-codon, which is responsible for specific mRNA codon recognition, and the 3' end, to which the tRNAs corresponding amino acid is attached (by aminoacyl-tRNA synthetases). tRNAs cope with the degeneracy of the genetic code in two manners: having more than one tRNA (with a specific anti-codon) for a particular amino acid; and 'wobble' base-pairing, i.e. permitting non-standard base-pairing at the 3rd anti-codon position.
Source: RNAcentral
GGGCCCGUAGUGGUAACGGUAGAACACUGCAUUCGCAUUGCAGGAAUGGCGGUUCGAUUCCGCCCGGGUCCA